CGCCCAUCAGAAAAAACACAGUCCGGUUGGUAGUCCGGACACAGCAGCGUUUUCUCUGCUGUCAGUAACCUGCCUCCUAAGGUUGUCCGUCUGCAUGGAACUUCAU
RNAcentral lists this non-coding RNA (106 nucleotides) under Clostridium sp. RNAcentral's name for it is "Azaaromatic sequence". It matches the Rfam family "azaaromatic riboswitch aptamer (yjdF RNA)". The record is from RNAcentral. Lineage: Bacteria; Bacillati; Bacillota; Clostridia; Eubacteriales; Clostridiaceae.